UCUCAGAUAGCUUAACCGGUAGAGCCUUUGUUGUGUAACCAAAUGAUCCGGGUUCAAGUCUCGCUCUGUCCGAA
This 74-nucleotide transfer RNA is filed under the name Cotesia glomerata. RNAcentral's name for it is "tRNA-Thr". The record is from RNAcentral. Lineage: Eukaryota; Metazoa; Arthropoda; Insecta; Hymenoptera; Braconidae.